AAGUCGUAACAAGGUUUCCGUAGGUGAACCUCAGACACCAACAAGCAGAGGAAUGCCAGGCCACUUGCCUCACGCUCAAGCACAGUCUACGCAGAAGUCCCUGAUAUCAAAACUGUUCGGCAAUGAUUUACCAGGGAUUGCUACCUUUUCUAAGAAAGUGCGAGCGCACUGAAGGUUCACGGGGGGGUUUAACGUUGGAUACGUGUUAAUGAUCCUACGAUCGCUAGAGGCCGACACGGCCGGCGACCGGGUCACUGGGCGCGAGCCCCCCUCGUCACCUUUGCAUGAAAACGGGCCUGCGCUUAAUUGUGCGGCCACCAAACUCGAACAACUGUUAACAAUGGAUAUCUUGGUUCUC
RNAcentral lists this unclassified non-coding RNA (358 nucleotides) under fungal sp. RNAcentral describes it as "partial internal transcribed spacer region". Lineage: Eukaryota; Fungi. The record is from RNAcentral.